ACUCCUACGGGAGGCAGCAGUGGGGAAUAUUGCACAAUGGGCGCAAGCCUGAUGCAGCGACGCCGCGUGGGGGAUGACGGCCUUCGGGUUGUAAACCUCUUUCAAUAGGGACGAAGCGCAAGUGACGGUACCUAUAGAAGAAGCACCGGCCAACUACGUGCCAGCAGCCGCGGUAAUAC
This 179-nucleotide ribosomal RNA is filed under the name uncultured bacterium. RNAcentral's name for it is "partial 16S ribosomal RNA". It matches the Rfam family "Bacterial small subunit ribosomal RNA", at positions 335 to 526 of the family's 1533-position model. The record is from RNAcentral.